RNAcentral lists this unclassified non-coding RNA (968 nucleotides) under Hevea brasiliensis (rubber tree). The record is from RNAcentral. Lineage: Eukaryota; Viridiplantae; Streptophyta; Magnoliopsida; Malpighiales; Euphorbiaceae.
GGAACUUGGCCUGAUUUGAAGAAAAAAUGGAUGGUAAGUGAAGGCACGGCAUAGGCAUAGGGCACCAGCGUCAUUUUUCUUCAAUAAAAACAAUAAAACCGGAAAAAACAAAAAAAUUUCCUGGUUUGGUGGGUGGUGCGAAAUCGAACGCUUUGUCCUUCUCUCUCUCAUUCUCUCCCAUUGCGUUGCCUCCUCGAUUUUGUUCCUGCAAAUCCCUGCCUGGAUCUGUAAGUUAUUUUCCGUUUUCUUAUUAUUAAACUUAUUUGUAUCUUGUCAUAGAGAUCGAAUGCAUUCAAUUCCACCCAAUUUUGCUCUCUUGUGACAUUUUCAUCUUAAGUUAUGCUUCUGCAACUUCUGAGCCAUCUCCAAAACCCUAGAUCUUGCUUUUUCGCCUUUUUAUGGCUUUGAUUUAGGUUCUUGAUUUUUGGAUCUCGAGGUUUUGGUUACAUUAAAGCUCAAAUUUUGAGGAGUUGGACGAGCGGAGCUGUAAAUUGGGAACACAAUUGGAGGGUAUAUAGGUUUUAUUUUUGUAGAUCGUUAGGGCAAAGAGUGUUAUUUUAGAUGGCUUCCAAUCCUCCAUGUCAUGUGAUGGAGGAUCAGACGGAUGAGGAUUUCUUUGAUAAAUUAGUUGACGAUGAUUUUGGACCCACCAAUUCUGAUUCGGUCCCUAAGUUCACGGAGGGAAGCGAUUCCGAUGAGGCCAAAGCGUUUGCCAAGCUGAGUAUUGAGGAUGCAAGCGGUGAAGGUGGAGCUGAGGUGAAAGGCGAGAAUGAUUCUGUGCAUGCCAGUGCAAGAUUAUCCGGUUUACAUGUAGAAGAAAGUAAUACAUUGGAUUCAUCCAACUCAUUGGGGUCGAAUACUAUAGUUGAGUCAAAUAAUGAUGGGAUUGAAUCAGAAGUUGUACCAGAUCCAGUAUUAACUAAAACUAUCGAAUCAUCAAACUCAGGGGUUAAGGAGGUGGGAUGGAG